This 515-nucleotide long non-coding RNA is filed under the name Rattus norvegicus (Norway rat). RNAcentral describes it as "long non-coding RNA NONRATT020272". Lineage: Eukaryota; Metazoa; Chordata; Mammalia; Rodentia; Muridae. The record is from RNAcentral.
AGAUCUGCAAAUUUUUCUAAAUGGUGUUUGACUUUCCUUCAUCCCAUCUUAUGUUAAGGAAAGGAAAGGGUUUUGCAACCAAGCAUUUUGUAGGCAACCACAGGAGGCUCUAGCUUUGUGUAUUCAUGCCUCUCUUCAAGGUCUCAAGGGAGCCAUUUCAGGAUAAAACAUGCCUUCAUAACUGCCUCCUGGAAAGUAAGACCAAUUUGCUUUUAUGCCUGUGGAAUCUUCCUAUCAGUUUGAGGGAGAACGAAUUGUGGGGAGAGAAGCACUUUCCCAGUAGAGCAAAGACAUUCGCGGGGCUAGAAAAGCAGCCUUGCACUGGUACUUCUCAAAUGGAAAGGCCUCAUUUAAAGAGCAUUCACAUCAUAAUAAUACCUCAUAAUUUUCUCUUCUGUUCAUCUAGAAUGACUCUAAUGAUAUCGCUGAUUUUCUGUUUUCAUAAGGUAAGAGUUUGAGAAAGGGAUGGGGUCUAAUAGCUAAUAGAAAAUCUAAGAAAAAGAAAAAAAGAAAAG